AGUGAACGCUGGCGGUAGGCCUAACACAUGCAAGUCGAACGGCAGCACAGGAGAGCUUGCUCUCUGGGUGGCGAGUGGCGGACGGGUGAGGAAUACAUCGGAAUCGACUUUUUCGUGGGGGAUAACGUAGGGAAACUUACGCUAAUACCGCAUACGACCUACGGGUGAAAGCAGGGGACCUUCGGGCCUUGCGCGAUUGAAUGAGCCGAUGUCGGAUUAGCUAGUUGGCGGGGUAAAGGCCCACCAAGGCGACGAUCCGUAGCUGGUCUGAGAGGAGGCUCGGCCACACGGGAACUGAGACACGGUCCAGACUCCUACGGGAGGCAGCAGUGGGGAAUAUUGGACAAUGGGCGCAAGCCUGAUCCAGCCAUACCGCGUGGGUGAAGAAGGCCUUCGGGUUGUAAAGCCCUUUUGUUGGGAAAGAAAUCCAGCUGGCUAAUACCCGGUUGGGAUGACGGUACCCAAAGAAUAAGCACCGGCUAACUUCGUGCCAGCCGCCGCCGUAA
RNAcentral lists this ribosomal RNA (506 nucleotides) under uncultured bacterium. RNAcentral describes it as "partial 16S ribosomal RNA". It matches the Rfam family "Bacterial small subunit ribosomal RNA", at positions 29 to 523 of the family's 1533-position model. The record is from RNAcentral.